Molecule: unclassified non-coding RNA, 340 nt
Filed under: soil metagenome
Description: partial contains 5.8S ribosomal RNA, internal transcribed spacer 2, and large subunit ribosomal RNA
Rfam family: 5.8S ribosomal RNA (bases 1-120)
Source: RNAcentral
GAUGAAGAACGUAGCGAAACGCGAUAGUUAAUGUGAAUUGCAGAAUUCAGUGAAUCAUCGAGUCUUUGAACGCACAUUGCGCCCAUUGGUAUUCCGUUGGGCAUGUCUGUUUGAGCGUCAUUACAACAGUUCAGCGUAAGCUGGUUAUGAGUUCUGUUUUUUUAAACAAAAAACAGGCUUUAAAAUGUAUGUUCUGCAGGUCGCUUUGCUAAACCCUAAACAUUAAAUACUGUUCUAGUGAAGCAUUUGCGACUCUGCCUGAAAAAAAACUUUUGUUAAAGUUUGACCGCAGAUCAGACAAGGAUACCCGCUGAACUUAAGCAUAUCAAUAAGCGGAGGA